Molecule: transfer RNA, 70 nt
Filed under: Cryptopygus terranovus
Lineage: Eukaryota; Metazoa; Arthropoda; Collembola; Entomobryomorpha; Isotomidae
Description: tRNA-Met
Source: RNAcentral
AAAAAGAUAAGCUAAUUAAGCUAAAGGGUUCAUACCCCUUAUAUAAGAGUAAUUAAUCUCUUUCUUUUUA